Molecule: ribosomal RNA, 712 nt
Filed under: uncultured Photobacterium sp.
Lineage: Bacteria; Pseudomonadati; Pseudomonadota; Gammaproteobacteria; Vibrionales; Vibrionaceae
Description: bacterial SSU rRNA
Rfam family: Bacterial small subunit ribosomal RNA
Source: RNAcentral
CGGCGGACGGGUGAGUAAUGCCUGGGAAUAUGCCCUGAUGUGGGGGAUAACUAUUGGAAACGAUAGCUAAUACCGCAUAAUCUCUUCGGAGCAAAGAGGGGGACCUUCGGGCCUCUCGCGUCAGGAUUAGCCCAGGUGGGAUUAGCUUGUUGGUGAGGUAAUGGCUCACCAAGGCAACGAUCCCUAGCUGGUCUGAGAGGAUGAUCAGCCACACUGGAACUGAGACACGGUCCAGACUCCUACGGGAGGCAGCAGUGGGGAAUAUUGCACAAUGGGGGAAACCCUGAUGCAGCCAUGCCGCGUGUGUGAAGAAGGCCUUCGGGUUGUAAAGCACUUUCAGUAGGGAGGAAGGUAGUGUAGUUAACACCUGCAUUAUUUGACGUUACCUACAGAAGAAGCACCGGCUAACUCCGUGCCAGCAGCCGCGGUAAUACGGAGGGUGCGAGCGUUAAUCGGAAUUACUGGGCGUAAAGCGCAUGCAGGCGGCCUGUUAAGUCAGAUGUGAAAGCCCGGGGCUUAACCUCGGAAUUGCAUUUGAAACUGGCAGGCUAGAGUCUUGUAGAGGGGGGUAGAAUUUCAGGUGUAGCGGUGAAAUGCGUAGAGAUCUGAAGAAUACCAGUGGCGAAGCGGCCCCUGGACAAAGACUGACGCUCAGAUGCGAAAGCGUGGGGAGCAAACAGGACUAGAUACCCUGGUAGUCCACGCCGUAAAC